Molecule: RNA transcript, 1270 nt
Organism: Venturia canescens
Lineage: Eukaryota; Metazoa; Arthropoda; Insecta; Hymenoptera; Ichneumonidae
Exons: 7
Source: RefSeq, a predicted model, not a curated record
UUGUGCUCAAUCUGUAUCAAUGCUCACUCAUCUAUUGUUAUUGUAAGCAGAACAAUGAGACUGUGAAUUCGGACGCAGAACUACUUAUUUUGAAGUCGACUUCCCAAAGUUGCGUUUUCCAGCAACCGAUUGACAAUAAUGAAAAUAUCGACGAUCUCAUUCAUAAACCUGAUAGUCAAAUACAGCCAGCAGCAGUCGAGAGUUCGCGCACUCAAGCUAAUUGUGAAACGAAGCUACACAAUUUGCUGCUGAGCGAUGUUCAUGGUCGCAUGAUCCUAGCGGUCUAUGAAACGCAAAAGUUUUUGACUCCUAGCGCACGUAACCGCUUGGUACGAUUCGUAAUAAAGCAGGAGCAAGAUCAUGCCUUCAAAGAUUUAUAUCAGGGAGAGCGAUUGAAUGAAUUUGUGAUACCCGCUGAGAAAUUUUCUUCUUGGGCAAAUGAAAUUGUCGCAACAUUUCCAGGAGAGCGCUUUGAAGUGUAUUUCACACCAUUCAAGACCGUGAAUGGUCAGCAGAUUAAUGCUAGCGGUAAACUGUGGCACCACUAUAAUUAUACGAAAGGGGUUAUGAAAAAAAAUUCCGUCUUACGGAAACGUUGUGAACCAAUCAACAUUCCUCCUAUUGCCCAAGACACAAUCGACAAAGCCAAUAUUCUACGAACAAAAGUUGAUCCAUGGUAUGAAACUAUACAGCUGUGGAAUGAGACAUAUGAUUUCCGGAUAAAAUACUUAAUGAAUGAAAGGCCAACAGUAUCGCAAUAUCUCGAAUCCUUCGCUUGUUUGCGUAUGCAGAAAGCAAUUGAUUUAUACGAGUCUGAUUUUGUUCGUCAGUAUCCUCAAAAAUCAUCGCUAUUAAAAGAUAACUGGGGAAAGACGCGAAGUUACCUUAUAAAGCGACUUCAGAAUCUUAAAAUUUCUAACGUCGAAGAGAAAGGAUAUAUUCAUUUGUUACCAACGUUAUCCUCAGAUGGUCAAAAUACGAUUCUUCUUUAUUUAUUACCGCAUUUGAUUGCUCCUGGCCGCUUUUUGCGAAAACGAAAAACUCUCGCAACACGAGCAAUAUUUAUGAAUCUGCAGACCCUGAAGACGAAGUGAAUGUGGCCAAAAAACUCAGUUUCCAGGAACGAAGAGACGCAUUUGUUGUUCAUUUGCACGAUGCAUUUUCAUUAGACGAAAUUGUACAGCAGGCACAAAGUCGGAGAUCAAGAAGCGAUGCACUAAAUAAACAGCCGAUUGCAGUCGUCGUGGGGCCGUUAGCUCAACCAGCAACA